This 484-nucleotide ribosomal RNA is filed under the name uncultured bacterium. Its description in RNAcentral is "partial 16S ribosomal RNA". It matches the Rfam family "Bacterial small subunit ribosomal RNA", at positions 30 to 507 of the family's 1533-position model. The record is from RNAcentral.
AUUGAACGCUGGCGGCAGGCCUAACACAUGCAAGUCGAGCGGAUGAAGGGGGCUUGCUCCUGGAUUCAGCGGCGGACGGGUGAGUAAUGCCUAGGAAUCUGCCUGGUAGUGGGGGAUAACGUCCGGAAACGGGCGCUAAUACCGCAUACGUCCUGAGGGAGAAAGUGGGGGAUCUUCGGACCUCACGCUAUCAGAUGAGCCUAGGUCGGAUUAGCUAGUUGGUGGGGUAAAGGCCUACCAAGGCGACGAUCCGUAACUGGUCUGAGAGGAUGAUCAGUCACACUGGAACUGAGACACGGUCCAGACUCCUACGGGAGGCAGCAGUGGGGAAUAUUGGACAAUGGGCGAAAGCCUGAUCCAGCCAUGCCGCGUGUGUGAAGAAGGUCUUCGGAUUGUAAAGCACUUUAAGUUGGGAGGAAGGGCAGCAAGUUAAUACCUUGCUGUUUUGACGUUACCAACAGAAUAAGCACCGGCUAACUUCGUG